UAGUGAUCCGAAAGGUGAACGACCCGCAAGGGAGCUUGCACAGGUGUUUGCAUGGCUGUCGUCAGCUCGUGUCGUGAGAUGUUCGGUUAAGUCCGCUAACGAGCGCAACCCUCGCUCGUAUGUUACAUGUGUCAGUACAGGACCGCCGGUAUCAAGCCGGAGGAAGGUGGGGAUGACGUCAAGUCCGCAUGGCCUUUAUGUCCGGGGCUACACACACGCUACAAUGGUCGGUACAAUGGGUUGCUAAGCCGCGAGGUGGAGCCAAUCCCCCAAAGCCGGCCUCAGUUCAGAUUGCAGGCUGCAACUCGCCUGCAUGAAGCUGGAGUUGCUAGUAAACGCGCGUCAGCUAUAGUGCGUUGAAUACGUUCUCGGGCCUU
RNAcentral lists this ribosomal RNA (377 nucleotides) under uncultured Anaerolineaceae bacterium. RNAcentral describes it as "bacterial SSU rRNA". It matches the Rfam family "Bacterial small subunit ribosomal RNA", at positions 994 to 1382 of the family's 1533-position model. The record is from RNAcentral. Lineage: Bacteria; Bacillati; Chloroflexota; Anaerolineae; Anaerolineales; Anaerolineaceae.